Molecule: transfer RNA, 71 nt
Filed under: Ovis aries (sheep)
Lineage: Eukaryota; Metazoa; Chordata; Mammalia; Artiodactyla; Bovidae
Rfam family: tRNA
About the family: Transfer RNA (tRNA) molecules are approximately 80 nucleotides in length. Their secondary structure includes four short double-helical elements and three loops (D, anti-codon, and T loops). Further hydrogen bonds mediate the characteristic L-shaped molecular structure. tRNAs have two regions of fundamental functional importance: the anti-codon, which is responsible for specific mRNA codon recognition, and the 3' end, to which the tRNAs corresponding amino acid is attached (by aminoacyl-tRNA synthetases). tRNAs cope with the degeneracy of the genetic code in two manners: having more than one tRNA (with a specific anti-codon) for a particular amino acid; and 'wobble' base-pairing, i.e. permitting non-standard base-pairing at the 3rd anti-codon position.
Source: Rfam by way of RNAcentral
UCCCUGGUGAUCCAGUGGUUAAGACUGUGUUUCCACUGCAGGGGACACAGGUUCAAUCCCUGUCUGGGGAA